UGGGGAAUAUUGGACAAUGGGCGCAAGCCUGAUCCAGCAAUGCCGCGUGUGUGAAGAAGGCCUUCGGGUUGUAAAGCACUUUUAUCAGGAGCGAAACGCUGUCGGCUAAUACCCGGCGGAACUGACGGUACCUGAGGAAUAAGCACCGGCUAACUUCGUGCCAGCAGCCGCGGUAAUACGAAGGGUGCAAGCGUUAAUCGGAAUUACUGGGCGUAAAGCGUGCGUAGGCGGUUUCUUAAGUCUGCUGUGAAAUCCCCGGGCUCAACCUGGGAAUGGCAGUGGAUACUGGGAGGCUAGAGUGUGUCAGAGGGUGGUGGAAUUCCCGGUGUAGCGGUGAAAUGCGUAGAGAUCGGGAGGAACAUCAGUGGCGAAGGCGGCCACCUGGGACAACACUGACGCUGAGGCACGAAAGCGCGGGGAGCAAACAGGAUUAGAUACCCUGGUAGUCCACGCCCUAAACGAUGCGAACUGGAUGUUGGUCUCAACUCGGAGAUCAGUGUCGAAGCUAACGCGUUAAGUUCGCCGCCUGGGGAGUACGGUCGCAAGACUGAAACUCAAAGGAAUUGACGGGGUCAUAGCUGUUUCCUG
Molecule: ribosomal RNA, 588 nt
Filed under: uncultured bacterium
Lineage: Bacteria
Description: partial 16S ribosomal RNA
Rfam family: Bacterial small subunit ribosomal RNA
Source: RNAcentral